This 306-nucleotide ribosomal RNA is filed under the name Triticum aestivum (bread wheat). RNAcentral's name for it is "partial small subunit ribosomal RNA". The record is from RNAcentral. Lineage: Eukaryota; Viridiplantae; Streptophyta; Magnoliopsida; Poales; Poaceae.
AUGUGGCAUAAAGCACCAUGUUCAAGUAGGGAUUACAUUGGGGUACGGGAGAGUGGACCGUGUAAAAGAGAUGAGGAUGGUGAUGUUGAUGAAGACGAUCACCGCGGUGAUGAUUCCCCUCCCGAUGGCACUCCGGUGCCACCAAGAGAGAGGAGGAGAGGUUAUCCCCCUUGUGCUUCCUCCUCAAUGGCUUUCCCCCUCUGGUCCUUGGCCUUCAUGGCGAUGAGGGCCCCUCCGAGAUCCUCCUCCAUGGCCUCCGGUGAUGAUGGCCCCCUCCGGCAGGGUGCCGGAGAGGGCCUAGAUUGA